AGCGAACGCUGGCGGCAGGCCUAACACAUGCAAGUCGAACGAACUCUUCGGAGUUAGUGGCGGACGGGUGCGUAACACGUGGGAACGUGCCUUUAGGUUCGGAAUAACUCAGGGAAACUUGUGCUAAUACCGAAUGUGCCCUUCGGGGGAAAGAUUUAUCGCCUUUAGAGCGGCCCGCGUCUGAUUAGCUAGUUGGUGAGGUAAAGGCUCACCAAGGCGACGAUCAGUAGCUGGUCUGAGAGGAUGAUCAGCCACAUUGGGACUGAGACACGGCCCAAACUCCUACGGGAGGCAGCAGUGGGGAAUCUUGCGAAAUGGGCGAAAGCCUGACGCAGCCAUGCCGGGUGAAUGAUGAAGGUCUUAGGAUUGUAAAAUUCUUUAACCGGGGACGAUAAUGACGGUACCCGGAGAAGAAGCCCCGGCUAACUUCGUG
This 433-nucleotide ribosomal RNA is filed under the name uncultured bacterium. RNAcentral describes it as "partial 16S ribosomal RNA". It matches the Rfam family "Bacterial small subunit ribosomal RNA", at positions 29 to 507 of the family's 1533-position model. The record is from RNAcentral.